AUACAUGCAAGUCGAACGCUUUUUCUUUCACCGGAGCUUGCUCCACCGAAAGAAAAAGAGUGGCGAACGGGUGAGUAACACGUGGGUAACCUGCCCAUCAGAAGGGGAUAACACUUGGAAACAGGUGCUAAUACCGUAUAACACUAUUUUCCGCAUGGAAGAAAGUUGAAAGGCGCUUUUGCGUCACUGAUGGAUGGACCCGCGGUGCAUUAGCUAGUUGGUGAGGUAACGGCUCACCAAGGCAACGAUGCAUAGCCAACCUGAGAGGGUGAUCGGCCACACUGGGACUGAGACACGGCCCAGACUCCUACGGGAGGCAGCAGUAGGGAAUCUUCGGCAAUGGACGAAAGUCUGACCGAGCAACGCCGCGUGAGUGAAGAAGGUUUUCGGAUCGUAAAACUCUGUUGUUAGAGAAGAACAAGGAUGAGAGUAAAAUGUUCAUCCCUUGACGGUAUCUAACCAGAAAGCCACGGCUAACUACGUGCCAGCAGCCGCGGUAAUACGUAGGUGGCAAGCGUUGUCCGGAUUUAUUGGGCGUAAAGCGAGCGCAGGCGGUUUCUUAAGUCUGAUGUGAAAGCCCCCGGCUCAACCGGGGAGGGUCAUUGGAAACUGGGAGACUUGAGUGCAGAAGAGGAGAGUGGAAUUCCAUGUGUAGCGGUGAAAUGCGUAGAUAUAUGGAGGAACACCAGUGGCGAAGGCGGCUCUCUGGUCUGUAACUGACGCUGAGGCUCGAAAGCGUGGGGAGCGAACAGGAUUAGAUACCCUGGUAGUCCACGCCGUAAACGAUGAGUGCUAAGUGGUUGGAAGGGUUUCCGCCCUUCAGUGCUGCAGCAAACGCAUUAAGCACUCCGCCUGGGGAGUACGACCGCAAGGUUGAAACUCAAAGGAAUUGACGGGGGCCCGCACAAGCGGUGGAGCAUGUGGUUUAAUUCGAAGCAACGCGAAGAACCUUACCAGGUCUUGACAUCCUUUGACCACUCUAGAGAUAGAGCUUCCCCUUCGGGGGCAAAAUGACAAGUGGGG
This 1023-nucleotide ribosomal RNA is filed under the name Enterococcus casseliflavus. RNAcentral describes it as "bacterial SSU rRNA". It matches the Rfam family "Bacterial small subunit ribosomal RNA", at positions 51 to 1043 of the family's 1533-position model. The record is from RNAcentral. Lineage: Bacteria; Bacillati; Bacillota; Bacilli; Lactobacillales; Enterococcaceae.